CGGCAUAGGAUGAGCGUGCGUCUGAUUAGGUAGUUGGUGAGGUAACGGCUCACCAAGCCGACGAUCAGUAAGGGGCGUGAGAGCGUGGCCCCUCACACGGGUACUGAGACACGGACCCGACUCCUACGGGAGGCAGCAGUGAGGAAUAUUGGGCAAUGGGCGAAAGCCUGACCCAGCCACGCCGCGUGAGUGAUGAAGGCCCUCGGGUCGUAAAGCUCUGUGGAGAGGGACGAAAACCCUGGUUUCAAAUAGGCUCCAGGCUUGACGGUACCUCUUUAGCAAGCACCGGCUAACUCUGUG
RNAcentral lists this ribosomal RNA (300 nucleotides) under uncultured bacterium. Its description in RNAcentral is "bacterial SSU rRNA". It matches the Rfam family "Bacterial small subunit ribosomal RNA", at positions 216 to 507 of the family's 1533-position model. The record is from RNAcentral.